CAGAGGUCUCAAGCGUUGUUCGGAUUCAUUGGGCGUAAAGGGUGCGUAGGUGGCGCCGUAAGUCAGGUGUGAAAUCUCGGGGCUCAACCCCGUAACUGCACUUGAUACUGCGGUGCUCGAGUACUGGAGAGGAGAUUGGAAUUUACGGUGUAGCAGUGAAAUGCGUAGAUAUCGUAAGGAAGACCAGUGGCGAAGGCGAAUCUCUGGACAGUUACUGACACUGAGGCACGAAGGCCAGGGGAGCAAACGGGAUUAGAUACCCCGGUAGUCCUGGCAGUAAACGGUGCGCGUUUGGUGUGGGAGGAUUCGACCCCUUCUGUGCCGGAGCUAACGCGUUAAACGCGCCGCCUGGGGAGUACGGUCGCAAGAUUA
Molecule: ribosomal RNA, 372 nt
Filed under: uncultured organism
Description: bacterial SSU rRNA
Rfam family: Bacterial small subunit ribosomal RNA
Source: RNAcentral